This 244-nucleotide unclassified non-coding RNA is filed under the name Hevea brasiliensis (rubber tree). Lineage: Eukaryota; Viridiplantae; Streptophyta; Magnoliopsida; Malpighiales; Euphorbiaceae. The record is from RNAcentral.
GGCAUAACUUGGAUUGUCAUAAUUCAUGCGAAUAAUUAGCGUUUAAAGUAAGAUUCUACAGCGAAUUAAGCAUAAUUUGAUUGAUCUGUUUACUUAUAAAAAUGUGAGAUCUCGUGUUCAUUUGUAUCUAUCUAUUAAAUAUUGAUAAAAUUAUUAGAUGGAGUGUGAUUAGAGGAUAGGUUAACCUAAUUAUAUAGGAUUGGCUUAUUGGCCUCUUAAACUAAAAAUAAAAAUAAAUAUAAAA